CAGUAGCCACGGUAAUACGUAGGGUGCAAGCGUUAAUCGGAAUUACUGGGCGUAAAGCGUGCGCAGGCGGUUUGUUAAGACAGAUGUGAAAUCCCCGGGCUCAACCUGGGAACUGCAUUUGUGACUGGCAAGCUAGAGUGUGGCAGAGGGGGGUGGAAUUCCGCGUGUAGCAGUGAAAUGCGUAGAUAUGCGGAGGAACACCGAUGGCGAAGGCAGCCCCCUGGACCAACACUGACGCUCAUGCACGAAAGCGUGGGGAGCAAACAGGAUUAGAUACCCCCGUAGUCCCUGUCUCUUAUAA
Molecule: ribosomal RNA, 301 nt
Filed under: uncultured bacterium
Lineage: Bacteria
Description: partial 16S ribosomal RNA
Rfam family: Bacterial small subunit ribosomal RNA
Source: RNAcentral